Molecule: long non-coding RNA, 924 nt
Filed under: Junco hyemalis (dark-eyed junco)
Lineage: Eukaryota; Metazoa; Chordata; Aves; Passeriformes; Passerellidae
Description: lncRNA (ENSJHYG00000010678.1)
Source: RNAcentral
CCAGGCUUGUGUCCAGUCUGGACUCUAUGGAGCAGCCCCCAAAGCAGAUGAGACCACCCACCAGCAGUGAUUCCUUCUCCAGCAGGCUCCUGGGGCAGAUCCUUCAGCUCAGCUUGGUCAAGUACCCUCUGAAGCUCCUUCAGAAAGCCUCUGUGUGGAUUGGAUUGGUGCUUCCUGUGGAGUCCAUCAGGAACAGGCUCUGCCCUCCAUCCCAGUCCCCCUCCAGGCCUGGGCUCCUGCGCCUGCUGCUCUCCCUGACCCCCACCAGCAUCCAGAACCUUCUGUGCCACCUCCCAACUGACUGGAGCCACAGCAGCAUGUCCGAGGAGAUCCGGGAGGCUCCCAUCAACCCAACCAGCAAAGCCAGCAAGAGGAAGAGGGAUGAUGUAGCUCUGGAGCAGCAGGAGUCCUGGUUUGAGGUGCUGGAGAGGGAUUUGCCAGAGGAUGACCCUGAAGACUUCUCAUAUGAGCCCUCAGAGCUGGAGUCAGACAGUGACGAGUACCAGACCCAAAAUGACACCGACCUGGAGCUGGAGGAGCAGGGUGAGAUCACAGAGCUGGAGCUCGCAGCUGUCCAGGGCUUUGUGUUGCCGCCAGAGCUGGGAGCAGAAGAUCCAGAUGUGGCCAGCGGUGAUGCCCAGGAGCCAGGAGGGGAUGGCAGCAGUGAGCAGGAGACUGACACAACCUGUGACACCAGCUCAUCCCAGGAUGGGGUAAGGACCCUUGGGACAAUGCCAGCCUCUGGGUGUGGGGCAGGGGAGGUGCCACAAGUCCCCCGGAUGUCCCCAAGGCUCUGAGCCUUUGUCACAGAGCUCUGCUCAAGGGAAGGGCUUGGAGGGGCUCCUGUCCCUGUGCAGGGACACAGCCUCAGAGCCCAGGUGUUGGUGGGGUGGUGCUGGCUUUGCCCAGUCACCAGUGUGUGAU